UACGUAGGGGGCAAGCGUUGUCCGGAAUCAUUGGGCGUAAAGCGCGUGUAGGCGGCUUGGUAAGUCCGUUCUGAAAGCCCGGGGCUCAACCCCGGGAGGCGGAUGGAUACUGUCAAGCUUGAGUCCGGAAGAGGCGAGUGGAAUUCCCGGUGUAGCGGUGAAAUGCGCAGAUAUCGGGAGGAACACCAAUGGCGAAGGCAGCUCGCUGGGACGUGACUGACGCUGAGACGCGAAAGCUAGGGUAGCGAAUGGG
Molecule: ribosomal RNA, 253 nt
Filed under: uncultured bacterium
Lineage: Bacteria
Description: partial 16S ribosomal RNA
Rfam family: Bacterial small subunit ribosomal RNA
Source: RNAcentral